CUGGAGAAGCAGGGCACGUGCUCGCCGACAAGUCGAAGCCUUAGGGCAGCUUGGCCUGUGGCUGCACGCGUACGUGGUCGUCGCAGCACGUGCGCUCCUUCUCCAACA
Molecule: non-coding RNA, 108 nt
Organism: Zea mays
Lineage: Eukaryota; Viridiplantae; Streptophyta; Magnoliopsida; Poales; Poaceae
Source: RefSeq, marked provisional